AUGAAUUGCUUUUUUUUUGGGCCAAUACCGAUUAAAAUCUCUUGCGACUGAUUCAAACGUGCGUUCAAAAAAACAUUGAGAAAAUGGCGAAUCUGCUAAGCGAGCUCGAGAGAUUUGAGCAGGAAAUGAAAGAACUGGUUUCAGAUUCUCCGCCCUCGCCAAGUCAAGCAAGCAACGAUACUUCAUCUACCUCGGCUUUUCCAUCUUCUUCAGAGGCAAAUGUACUUACUGCUGCACCAACAUCAAAUGAGACUACGGUACAAAGCAUAACUCCAGCACAACAGUCGUCGAGGUCUCCGGCAGCUCCUGCUGCAUCAGUUGUGACAAGCAGUUAUCUACCUGGGAGGCCUUCACCUAUUAUAUCUUCUAGUGCUCAGUUGCAGCCUCAGGUAUCCACACCUCCCGCUCCAACAGCACCUCAUAUACAAUGGUUGGGCAAUGGGGCAGGACCAGCAUUGGCACCGUCAGCACCCGUUCCUCCAGUUUCAGCUUCAACUUCAUCACAAUUCACAUAUUCAAGUGGAGCAUACCCACCUGGACCUUCCAAUGUUCCUUCUGUGUCAGCGGCAGCAACAUCUGGUUCUCCAUAUUUUCCACUCCCCUUUCAUCUUCAGCAGCAGCCAGAACAUCUGCAACAACAGCAACCAGAGCAGCAAUACCCUCAGCAGCAGCAGUAUGUGAUGGCACAGUAUCAGCCCCAAGUUCAGAAGUAUCCGUUACCUCCACAGCUGCAACAGCCACCCUCAAUUCAAGCACCUCAGUAUCAGUACUCAUCUUUAUAUCAGGCACCGGCAGCUGUAGGUGGAAUUUACUCACUUCCCCAGCAACAACAGGCUCAACAGUUAUUCCAGAAGGAUGCUCAAACUAUAACACCCGAGGCUCUAGAAAGUGUAAAGGCUGCACUUGCAAGUAGUGAAAAUGAGCACAAGGCUGAAACUAAAAAGAAAGCAAUUCCACGGAAAGCUGCAGGUCAAACAUGGGAAGAUCCAACACUUGCAGAUUGGCCAGAAAAUGAUUUUCGCUUAUUUUGUGGAGAUCUUGGCAAUGAAGUCAACGAUGAAGUUCUUACCAAAGCAUUUUCAAGAUAUGCAAAUUUUAACAUGGCUAGGGUUGUAAGAGACAAGCGUACUGGGAAAACAAAGGGUUAUGGUUUUGUUAGCUUCUCCACUCCUUCGGAGCUUGCUCUUGCCUUAAAAGAAAUGAAUGGAAAGUAUGUUGGAAAUAGGCCCAUAAAGUUACGCAAGAGUAACUGGAAGGAACGGACAGAUUUUGAUGCUUGGGAAAAACACAAGAACCACAAGAAAGGAAAAUUAUCAAAGAAGAAUGUCCUGCAUAAGUGAAUCUGGAUAUCCAGUUUAGUUAGACUUCUAACUUGGUGUGUGGUAUGUGGUUGUGUAACGAUCCAUGUAGAAUCAAUUUUAAUGCGCAGUAUAUUAUUUUAAGGGAAAGGACCAGGUCAUAUCGCCUUAUGGCUUAUCAAGACAUGUUUGAACUUCUUUUUGAGUGAAAUGUUUUUACGUUAAAAAAACUUAUGCGAAGGGCCAUUACUGAUUCAAGGAUUACCAACUUCCUCAGAUGGAGUUUUAUACAUAUGUGAUGUCUCUUGAUGGUCUUCUGAGGCAUACUUAGCCUGAGCCCGGUCCUCUGCAUUCAAUUUACCUCCAGAUGUUGUGAAUUUUCUUUGCUUUUGCUGAGUUCUUCGGCAUUAAGAGAGGAGGUAGUUUCUGCAUGUAGUUGAGGUGCUUUUUUUCUUUUUCUUUUCAAAUUGAUGGGCCCUGUAGGUUAGUCAAUGCCCUUGUGACCAUACUUUACUUUUUCCCUUUGGGCUACUUCAGACUUGAAUUUUCCUGGAGAUAUUUUUUUCUUAAUGUCAGUACUUGCAGAAGUAAGCCAAUCAUGUUGUCCAAAGUAGAGAAAAGUAUUGAUUGUCUUGAACAAAUGUUGGAUGGCGAUAAUAUUUUAGACCACAAAUAAUUGAUCAAAACAACAUUAAACGAUGUCUACACAAUUUGAAAUUAAUCACUAAAAUGCAACGAGUAAGUUUAAAAAUCA
Molecule: RNA transcript, 2052 nt
Organism: Cryptomeria japonica (Japanese cedar)
Lineage: Eukaryota; Viridiplantae; Streptophyta; Pinopsida; Cupressales; Cupressaceae
Exons: 9
Source: RefSeq, a predicted model, not a curated record